AUGGAUCGUUUCCAUGAGCUCCGUAACGAUGCAAGCGUUGCUUUUUUUAAGGCUUCGAAAUCCGCAGCGCAAUCAGAGAGGGUGAUGGCAUUUCUCAACAGUAUUAUUGAUGAGGGUGAGAAUGACGAGAAUACUAACAUAGCAUCAUUUGGUCCUUUGCCGGCAUAUUUUUCUGGGGCACGCCAAACCUUCACAACUAAAGUUCUGGAUCCAAUACCAAUUAUUCCAAAAGGUGCUCCAUCGAAGGGCAGGUUGAAGCCAUUCCAGGAGACUAUGAAGAAAAAGAAGCCCAAACAUGACUGCGGGCAAAGUUGGACAGGCGUUAAUUAUGCUGAAGAGCCACACAUCAGUGGAAUCAGCUAUCUACUUGUCUAA
Molecule: ribosomal RNA, 375 nt
Filed under: Triticum aestivum (bread wheat)
Lineage: Eukaryota; Viridiplantae; Streptophyta; Magnoliopsida; Poales; Poaceae
Description: partial small subunit ribosomal RNA
Source: RNAcentral